GCUUCCUUAGCUCAGCCGGUUAGAGCAUCUGACUGUUAAUCAGAGGGUCCCUGGUUCGAGCCCAGGAGGGAGCGCAA
Molecule: transfer RNA, 77 nt
Filed under: Hymenobacter actinosclerus
Lineage: Bacteria; Pseudomonadati; Bacteroidota; Cytophagia; Cytophagales; Hymenobacteraceae
Also listed under: 2 other names
Description: tRNA_Asn_GTT
Rfam family: tRNA
About the family: Transfer RNA (tRNA) molecules are approximately 80 nucleotides in length. Their secondary structure includes four short double-helical elements and three loops (D, anti-codon, and T loops).
Source: RNAcentral